RNAcentral lists this ribosomal RNA (254 nucleotides) under uncultured bacterium. RNAcentral describes it as "partial 16S ribosomal RNA". It matches the Rfam family "Bacterial small subunit ribosomal RNA", at positions 524 to 776 of the family's 1533-position model. The record is from RNAcentral.
UACGUAGGCAGCGAGCGUUGUUCGGAGUUACUGGGCGUAAAGGGGGUGUAGGCGGUUGUUUAAGUUUGGUGUGAAAUCUCCCGGCUCAACUGGGAGGGUGCGCCGAAUACUGAAUGACUUCGAGUGCGGGAGAGGAAAGUGGAAUUCCUGGUGUAGCGGUGAAAUGCGUAGAUAUCAGGAGGAACACCGGUGGCGUAGACGGCUUACUGGACCAUAACUGACGCUGAGGCACGAAAGCGUGGGUAGCAAACAGG